GUUCCCAGCCGCGCCGCCCGGGCCGCCCCGCCGGCCCCUGCUCCGCCGCCCCCGAGCUGGGGGAAAACGAAACUUACCGCCCGGCUGCCUCCGCAGAGCCACAGCCCCGCUGCCGAGGAGUAGCGGUUUAGGGGCGCGGGGGGCUGGGGGGGGGAGAGCAGGGGGGAGGCGAACCGCACACAGCCUUCUCCUGCAACUGCUCUGAUUCCCCGCUACCUACAUGGGAGGGGAAGGGAGAGAGGAAAGCGAGGGAAGGCACAGGUGCAGCCGGCACUUACCUGCUCCCCCUCUCCCGCGGCUGCUCAGCGCAGUCCGGCUGAGAAAGCGGCGGCACAAACUUUCUGCCUCAUUACAACACUGCUGAAGCCUUUUGGGGAUGCAGAAUGAAACGGUCCUGCGACAGAAACGUGAUAACUCUGGAGUCAGGACGCCUCCUGCGAAAAAAAGGCAGAGGUUCCAAAUGCUGGUGGAGAUGCUGAACUGAUAUUUUCCACGGACAAAAAUAUUUUUAACACGUACCGUUUUUAGAACAAUGGAUCGUACCAAGGGCAACUCUUCAUUUUCAGACAUGAUUUCCAAUAUCACCCUUCUAAUCAGAGAGAAGCAAUUCAGCAUCAUGGCAUUUGUGAACUGAAGACGUGGUUUAAAGAGAGCAACUAGAAGCAAUCUUAAUUCUCCAAGUUAUGGAGUGUCUGAGUGCAUGGUUAAAACUUAAUAAGAUGUAUUCAGGAAGAAAAUCCUGAAUCAUGGUUGCACACAGUUGCUUAAGAUUGUAAUUAAGGGUUCUUCUUUCCUUUGUCCUCCUUCCCCCAAUUCCUAAUUCAUCUUUCACAAGUUAAUCAAAGACUCUGCACUGAUCCUUAGAGGACAAGGUUCAAGGACAGAUUAUCUUUUUUCAUCACUAAAUAUCACAAACACCUCUGCUCUAUCUUCUCUCAAAUUCAUUCUGAGAUGUAACCAGUACUUGGAAACCUUUUCUUUUCCUACUUAAUUCAGUAGCUAUGACUUCAAUGGUGAAAAUAGAACAGUCUAAAAAUAGAGGAAAAGCAAAACAAAACAAAACAAAAUAUCAUUUGGGAAUAGGAUGAUACAAAAAAAAAAAAAAGAAUCUACAAGUCUCAUAAACUUUACCUAGCAUCUUCAUAUUUUUUCUUUGCUCUUCAGGUUCAAGACUGGGACUAAACAGUUUUAUAAUCACUUAAAUUCUUUAUAAAGGAAGGAUUCUUUCUCAUUAAUUUUGAUUCUGAUCUAGAUAUUUCUAAGGGAGAAUUGGAAUAGCCAAUUAUCACCCAAUUAAAAAGCUUUCAUGUGUAGGCCUUUACAGAGUAUUUAAUGAUGUUCUUACUAACUUAACAGACCUCUCUCAAGGAUGUGCUUUAUGUUCCAAAAGUCUAUAUUCUCUCAAGCAAAACCUUUCAUUAAGCUGUAUGUCUGUGAAAACAUUUGAACUUAAUUUUACUGUGUUGAAAAUAAGAUAGGCAUUUUUUCCUGAUUAUUUUUCUAAAUGCUUAUGCUGUCAUAUCAAAAUAAAAAGUAUUAAACCCUUUGACUUUCAUGAGAGAAAAGCAGCCCAGUGGCUCCAAGCAAAAAGUGUGACUAAGCAGACCAAUUUAAUUCCAUUGCACAGGCAAUAUAA
Tyto alba (common barn owl) is the source of this 1636-nucleotide long non-coding RNA. RefSeq lists it as uncharacterized. The transcript has 3 exons. NCBI's taxonomy places the organism in Eukaryota, Metazoa, Chordata, Aves, Strigiformes, Tytonidae. The record is from RefSeq and is a predicted model, not a curated record.